RNAcentral lists this long non-coding RNA (384 nucleotides) under Penaeus japonicus. RNAcentral describes it as "uncharacterized LOC122244352". The record is from RNAcentral. Lineage: Eukaryota; Metazoa; Arthropoda; Malacostraca; Decapoda; Penaeidae.
UUAUUCCUAGAUUCCGCUCUCCUACCGAUGACUGUUAAGGAGCCAUCAGUCACUGCCUUCAAAUACCGAAAGAGUGUCGCAGUCGUUGUAUCUGCUGUUGCCAGCUUUUUUAUAUUGCUAUUUCUCGAGAUUCUGGUGUAAUAACAAGAACUACUUGGCAACUGAUACAGUGCAUUGGUUUUUAUUUACUUCCCUUUUUUUGUUCUUUAUCAUUCGUUGUACUUACAUGAACAAAUAGAGCAUGCGCUUUAAAUGAUUGAUUUUGAAAUAAUAAUAAUAAAAAAAAUGAUAGAUCGAUACAGUUUGCUGUUUUAUGUUUUUGUUUUAGUCACCCUAUUUUGCAAUUUUCUAGUAAUUUAAUUCACAAAUAAAAAUCUUAAUAAA